Molecule: signal recognition particle RNA, 299 nt
Filed under: Saimiri boliviensis boliviensis (Bolivian squirrel monkey)
Lineage: Eukaryota; Metazoa; Chordata; Mammalia; Primates; Cebidae
Description: Metazoan signal recognition particle RNA (ENSSBOG00000001942.1)
Rfam family: Metazoan signal recognition particle RNA
About the family: The signal recognition particle (SRP) is a universally conserved ribonucleoprotein. It is involved in the co-translational targeting of proteins to membranes.
Source: Rfam by way of RNAcentral
ACCAGGAGCAGUGGGGCAUGCCUGCAGUCCCAGCUACUCAGGAGGCUGAGGUGGGAGGAUCGCCUGAGCCCAGGAGUUCUGGGCUGUAGUGCACUAUGCGGAUCGGGUGUCCGCAGAAAGUUCAGCAUCGGUAUGGUGACCUCCCAGGAGUAGGGGACCACCAGGUUGCCUAUGGAUGGGUGAACCGGCCCAGGUCGGAAACAGAGCAGGUCAGAACUCUGUUGCUGAUCAGUAGUGGGAUCCCACCUGUGAAUAGCCAAUGCACUCCAGUCUGGGCAACAUAGUGAGACCCAUCUCGU